RNAcentral lists this ribosomal RNA (274 nucleotides) under uncultured bacterium. Its description in RNAcentral is "partial 16S ribosomal RNA". It matches the Rfam family "Bacterial small subunit ribosomal RNA", at positions 523 to 796 of the family's 1533-position model. The record is from RNAcentral.
CUACGGAGGGUGCAAGCGUUAUUCGGAAUCACUGGGCGUAAAGGACGCGUAGGCGGGUUGGCAAGUCAGAUGUGAAAUCCUACAGCUUAACUGUAGAACUGCAUUUGAAACUGCUAACCUAGAGUAUGGGAGGGGGAGAUGGAAUUAGUGGUGUAGGGGUAAAAUCCGUAGAUAUCACUAGGACUACCGAAAGCGAAGGCGAUCUCCUGGAACAUAACUGACGCUAAGGCGUGAAAGCGUGGGGAGCAAACAGGAUUAGAAACCCUAGUAGUCC